This 403-nucleotide ribosomal RNA is filed under the name Fusobacteriota bacterium. Its description in RNAcentral is "Fusobacteria bacterium partial 16S ribosomal RNA". It matches the Rfam family "Bacterial small subunit ribosomal RNA", at positions 355 to 776 of the family's 1533-position model. Lineage: Bacteria; Fusobacteriati; Fusobacteriota. The record is from RNAcentral.
UGGGGAAUCUUGCACAAUGGGGGCAACCCUGAUGCAGCGACGCCGCGUUAGCGAUGAAGGUUUUCGAAUCGUAAAGCUCUGUCCUAUGGGAAGAUAAUGACGGUACCAUAGGAGGAAGCCCCGGCUAACUACGUGCCAGCAGCCGCGGUAAUACGUAGGGGGCGAGCGUUGUCCGGAAUUACUGGGCGUAAAGGGUUCGCAGGCGGCAUGGCAAGUCCGAUGUAAAAGGCGAAGGCUCAACCUUCGUAAGCAUCGGAAACUGUCAAGCUUGAGUGAAGGAGAGGCAAGUGGAAUUCCUGGUGUAGAGGUGGAAUGCGUAGAUAUUAGGAGGAAUACCGGUGGCGAAGGCGACUUGCUGGACUUCAACUGACACUGAGGAACGAAAGCGUGGGUAGCAAACAGG